Molecule: long non-coding RNA, 2688 nt
Organism: Bubalus bubalis (water buffalo)
Lineage: Eukaryota; Metazoa; Chordata; Mammalia; Artiodactyla; Bovidae
Exons: 4
Source: RefSeq, a predicted model, not a curated record
UCCUGCGUUGGCAGGCAGAUUCUUUACUGCUGAGUUCCCUGGGAACCCCAGGCAUGGCUCCUAGAGCCAUUGAACAUAAUUGAAAUAGAGUUGUCAAAAAGGCAGGAAGGGAACCAGUAGGAACAGCUGACACAGAUAUCGGAUUCUUUCCUGUGACAGGUGUAUCCUAUGAGCUCAGCUUGAACAAGUUGCAGGAACCUGGGCUGGGCUCCAAGGCAGAAUGUUUCUUACAUGAGGGACCAGAGUUCUCUGUAGGGAAUCACUGGGUAAUUAGUACAAACAGUGUUCCGAUGGUGUGCAAGGAGUAAAAAUUAAUAAACAGAGACUUCAAUUAAAACAGAGUCAGGAGGCCAGAAGGGGAAGCUCUCAUACUCUAUGCUGCUGCUGUUGCUAAGUCGCUUCAGUCGUGUCCGACUCUGUUGGACCCCAUAGACGGCAGCCCACCGGGCUCCCCCGUCCCUGGGAUUCUCCAAGUAAGAACAUUGGAGUGGGUUGCCAUUUCCUUCUCCAACCUCAUACUCUAUGAGGAUAGUGGAACUCAACCGGAAGGAAAACCACUUCCCCUUGUUGCCUGGCAAGAGCUCAACCAAUGAGAGACUCUCACAAUUCAGCCAAUGAGAAGCCCCUAUACUUCGAACUCUCAACUCUUCAGUGGACUCUUGUUUCUCAUAAACCUGGCAACUUUCUUUACCUCUCUUUAAAAGAGUUCUCCUUUCUUUGUUGUGGUGGCUCACCAUGGUUACAGACCCCAAAUUUCAAAUCCUUGUUGAUUCCAAUUAAGCCCAUUUUUUGCUGGAGAAAUAACUGGUAAUCUGUGUUAGUUAAACAUUUUGGCGGUCCACAUGGGGAUCCAGAGAAGGCUCCUGUUGACUUCCAGGCUGGUAAGCAAACAGGUAUGGUUUCCAACCCAUCUGGAGAAGAAAGGUAAGAGAGAAUUCCAGAGUAACAACUUUCACAGAUAAAUCAACUCACUGCAGUUGCAUCCUAUCCAUGGACUAGUGACCCAGCAGAGUUCAGCUUCCUAGUCAUCAAGUUGCCCCUUCUGGAUCUGUCAGUACCCUCGAGAGAACGUGCCUGUGCCCAGUUGCAUCCGACUCUGUGCGACCUCAUGGACUAUAGCCCACCAGGCUCCUCUGGCCAUGGGAUUCUCCAGGCAAGAAUGCUGGAGUGGGAUCUUCCUGACCCAGGGGCUGAACCCACAUCUCCUUCGUCUCCUGCACUGCAGGCAGUCUUGACUCACUGAACGACUCAGAAACCUGCCCCCAAAGAGUAAGUAGUUUCACAUGUCAGGCUCAUCUCCUUGCUUCUCAGUCUCCCCAGAACUUGUCCUGUUUAGUCUUCACUCUUUUUUGGAUUUCCAGUGCCUUGGAGAAUAUGCUUUUUAUAUUUUGUUCAGUUUUUCUAGUUAUUUGUCCAAAUUAUCUACUUUGUCAUUAUUGACUUUCCGCAAUCAUUUAACUGAGGAUCAAAGAAGAAAUUAUAUAAAAUUUAAAUUGUUUUCAGAAUUUCAAUAAUAAUAAUAAUAAAUUGUAACCUUUUUUGUCAUGAUCCUUUUGCAAUCUUAGUGCUAUAGUAGCCCUACUCAAAGAUGUGUGAUAGUCUAAACCAGGUCAGCAAUACAUUUUAAGGUUGCAAUAUGAUGACAGAUACAGAAAUCAAUGGCAUAAUAUAAUGUCAGCAACCUAGGGGAAAUCUGCAGCGCAUUGUCUUUUUUCUUAGUAAUUUAGUAACUUUCUUAACUUAGUAACCAGUUAAUCUCGUAUAAAUAAAAUGUACACCAUGAUGUCAUAUGUUUCACUUCGUGAGUUAUUACAAAUGGCUCUUUUUAAAGAAGUAGUUCUUUGAACUGAAGUCCCAUCUGCCUUUCUAAUUACUUUUUUAAAAUUUACAUUGUGAAAUUCCCCCAAGUAUUUAAUUUGUGUACAUGUUUAAAGUUAUUUGAUAAGAGCCCAGUCCAUGUUUUGAAUUGGAUUUACCAAUUCUGUUUUCCCCUGGUGUUUAGCAAAAUUUAAGUGGAUUUUUUCUUUCUUCUGCUAAGACUCAUCUUUAUUAAUAUAUAGCUUUAAGUUAAAUAUUAAUACAUCUUACUCUGAAAAUCAGUAUUCAACUUAUGCUUGGGAAUUUCCAAAAUAAUUGUUUGAAAUAUUUAGAGUAACAAAAAUAUAGGUUGAGUGUAAAUAUUCUACAUUUUCUUGAAAUAUGUAACACUAAAUAUUAGAGUCCUGAUACUAUUCAAGCACCUCCAGAGCAAAAACCCUGUGAAAUAAAACUGCUUUGCCUAUGAUAGUUACUUAUCUAUUAAUGUUGCUUUAUGGACUCUAGUGAAGACUGAUUUUCCUAUUGGUAGAAAGAAGUCAAAGUUCUUUUUCAGCAUGGGCUUUGAAGUCAGACAAGUCUGAUGUUUCAAUAGAGAGUCUCUAUUGGCCAGCUUGACUUUGGGUUCCUUAACAUUUUUAAAGUUUGUGUCCUUAUUUAUUAAAAUUGAGAAAUAUCUGGUUGAUGGGUCCACAAGAAGAAAACUCUGAGCCACAACAACUUUCGCAAAUUCCAGAACAUCAGUUUGCAACAAUCUGGGGCCUGUGUGUUCUAUUACAGGGUUUCUGUGUAUUACAGGGUUUCUGUAGAUAGUGUAACAGAGUUUUGGGUUUACUCUGCAUUUUACUUGGAUUAAAGAUUUAAAUACAUUAA